Molecule: ribosomal RNA, 253 nt
Filed under: uncultured bacterium
Lineage: Bacteria
Description: partial 16S ribosomal RNA
Rfam family: Bacterial small subunit ribosomal RNA
Source: RNAcentral
UACGUAGGGAGCAAGCGUUGUUCGGAUUUACUGGGCGUAAAGGGCGCGUAGGCGGCGCGACAAGUCACUUGUGAAAUCUCCGGGCUUAACUCGGAACGGUCAAGUGAAACUGUCAUGCUAGAGUGCAGAAGGGGCAAUCGGAAUUCUUGGUGUAGCGGUGAAAUGCGUAGAUAUCAGGAGGAACACCGGUGGCGAAGGCGGGUCUCUGGGCAGUAACUGACGCUGAGGAGCGAAAGCGUGGGGAGCGAACAGG